Molecule: ribosomal RNA, 409 nt
Filed under: bacterium
Lineage: Bacteria
Description: partial 16S ribosomal RNA
Rfam family: Bacterial small subunit ribosomal RNA
Source: RNAcentral
GGGGGAAUAUUGCACAAUGGGCGAAAGCCUGAUGCAGCGACGCCGCGUGAGGGAUGACGGCCUUCGGGUUGUAAACCUCUUUCAGUAGGGACGAAGCGCAAGUGACGGUACCUGCAGACGAAGCUCCGGCUAACUACGUGCCAGCAGCCGCGGUAAUACGUAGGGUGCGAGCGUUGUCCGGAAUUACUGGGCGUAAAGAGCUCGUAGGCGGUUUGUCACGUCGUCUGUGAAAUCCUAGGGCUUAACCCUGGACGUGCAGGCGAUACGGGCUGACUUGAGUACUACAGGGGAGACUGGAAUUUCUGGUGUAGCGGUGGAAUGCACAGAUAUCAGGAAGAACACCGAUGGCGAAGGCAGGUCGCUGGGUAGUAACUGACGCUGAGGAGCGAAAGAAUGGGUAGCGAACAGG